AGCUGCAGUUGACGUCGACAGCG
This 23-nucleotide microRNA is filed under the name Drosophila virilis. RNAcentral's name for it is "dvi-miR-9716-5p". Lineage: Eukaryota; Metazoa; Arthropoda; Insecta; Diptera; Drosophilidae. The record is from miRBase by way of RNAcentral.